UACAAACUUAUACAACUUUCAGCAACGGAUCUCUUGGCUCUGGCAUCGAUGAAGAACGCAGCGAAUUGCGAUAAGUAAUGUGAUUUGCAGAUUUUCAGUGAAUCAUCGAAUCUUUGAACGCACCUUGCGCUCCUUGGUAUUCCGAGGAGCAUGCC
RNAcentral lists this ribosomal RNA (155 nucleotides) under Boletus aereus. RNAcentral describes it as "5.8S ribosomal RNA". It matches the Rfam family "5.8S ribosomal RNA". From Rfam's summary of the family: 5.8S ribosomal RNA (5.8S rRNA) is a component of the large subunit of the eukaryotic ribosome. It is transcribed by RNA polymerase I as part of the 45S precursor that also contains 18S and 28S rRNA. Functionally, it is thought that 5.8S rRNA may be involved in ribosome translocation. The record is from RNAcentral. Lineage: Eukaryota; Fungi; Basidiomycota; Agaricomycetes; Boletales; Boletaceae.